UGCAGAGGUGGCAAGCGUUGUUCGGAAUUACUGGGCGUAAAGGGCGCGUAGGCGGCCAUCUAAGUCAGACGUGAAAUCCCCCGGCUCAACCGGGGAACUGCGUCUGAUACUGGAAGGCUAGAGUUUGGGAGAGGGAUGUAGAAUUCCAGGUGUAGCGGUGAAAUGCGUAGAUAUCUGGAGGAAUACCGGUGGCGAAGGCGGCAUCCUGGACCAAUACUGACGCUGAGGCGCGAAAACUAGGGGAGCAAACGGG
RNAcentral lists this ribosomal RNA (253 nucleotides) under uncultured bacterium. RNAcentral describes it as "partial 16S ribosomal RNA". It matches the Rfam family "Bacterial small subunit ribosomal RNA", at positions 524 to 776 of the family's 1533-position model. The record is from RNAcentral.